This is a long non-coding RNA of Zea mays, 307 nucleotides long. RefSeq lists it as uncharacterized. The transcript has 2 exons. Lineage: Eukaryota; Viridiplantae; Streptophyta; Magnoliopsida; Poales; Poaceae. The record is from RefSeq and is a predicted model, not a curated record.
UGCGUGAUCCAUACUUCAAAGGUCUUGCUAGGGCUGAAAGAGAACCAUCCUGUCAGCCAAUCAGAAAAGUGGAAUUUGACUUUGAGCACAAAAGAAUGUCAAAGGAAGAGAUAAGAGAGUUGUUAUUCCGGGAGAUACUGGAAUAUCACCCACAACUGCUGAGUAGCUACAUUAAUGGCACAGAGAGGACAACCUUUCUCUACCCAAGUGCUGUUGAUCAAUUUAAGAAGCAGUUUUCUCAUCUUGAAGAGAGUGGUGGUAACGGCCCAUCAGUUCCAACAGACAGGAAACAUGCAUCUCUUCCCAG